Molecule: ribosomal RNA, 440 nt
Filed under: uncultured bacterium
Lineage: Bacteria
Description: partial 16S ribosomal RNA
Rfam family: Bacterial small subunit ribosomal RNA
Source: RNAcentral
CCUACGGGUGGCAGCAGUGGGGGAUAUUGCACAAUGGAGGGAACUCUGAUGCAGCGACGCCGCGUGAGGGAAGAAGGAUUUCGGUUUGUAAACCUCUGUCUUCGGUGACGAAACGAGACGGUAGCCGAGGAGGAAGCCACGGCUAACUACGUGCCAGCAGCCGCGGUAAUACGUAGGGGGCAAGCGUUGUCCGGAAUUACUGGGUGUAAAGGGAGCGUAGGCGGGAAAGAAAGUUGAAUGUUUAAGGUACGGGCUAAACCUGUGCAAGCGUUCGAAAAUGUUUAUCUAGAGUGGCGUAGAGGUAAGCGGAAUGCCUAGUGUAGCGGUGAAAUGCGUAAAUAUUAGGAGGAACACCAGUGGCGAAGGCGGCUUACUGGGCCUUAACUGACGCUGAGGCUCGAAAGCGUGGGUAGCAAACAGGAUUAGAUACCCUUGUAGUC